Molecule: ribosomal RNA, 492 nt
Filed under: uncultured bacterium
Lineage: Bacteria
Description: partial 16S ribosomal RNA
Rfam family: Bacterial small subunit ribosomal RNA
Source: RNAcentral
AGUGAACGCUGGCGGUAGGCCUAACACAUGCAAGUCGAACGGCAGCACAGUAAGAGCUUGCUCUUACGGGUGGCGAGUGGCGGACGGGUGAGGAAUCCAUCGGAAUCUACUUUUUCGUGGGGGCUAACGUAGGGAAACUUACGCUAAUACCGCAUACUCCCUACGUUUGAAAGCAGGGGAUCUUCGGACCUUGCGCGAUUGAAUGAGCCGAUGUCGGAUUAGCUAGUUGGCGGGGUAAAGGCCCACCAAGGCGACGAUCCGUAGCUGGUCUGAGAGGAUGAUCAGCCACACUGGAACUGAGACACGGUCCAGACUCCUACGGGAGGCAGCAGUGGGGAAUAUUGGACAAAGGGCGCAAGCCUGAUCCAGCCAUACCGCGUGGGUGAAGAAGGCCUUCGGGUUGUAAAGCCCUUUUGUUGGGAAAGAAAAGCAGCAGGUUAAUACCCCGCUGUUCUGACGGUACCAAAAGAAUAAGCACCGGCUAACUUCGUG